GACGAACGCUGGCGGCGUGCUUAACACAUGCAAGUCGAACGGAAAGGCCCUGCUUUUGUGGGGCGCUCGAGUGGCGAACGGGUGAGUAACACGUGAGUAACCUGCCCUUGACUUUGGGAUAACUUCAGGAAACUGGGGCUAAUACCGGAUAGGAGCUCCUGCUGCAUGGUGGGGGUUGGAAAGUUUCGGCGGUUGGGGAUGGACUCGCGGCUUAUCAGCUUGUUGGUGGGGUAGUGGCUUACCAAGGCUUUGACGGGUAGCCGGCCUGAGAGGGUGACCGGCCACAUUGGGACUGAGAUACGGCCCAGACUCCUACGGGAGGCAGCAGUGGGGAAUAUUGCACAAUGGGCGGAAGCCUGAUGCAGCAACGCCGCGUGCGGGAUGACGGCCUUCGGGUUGUAAACCGCUUUCGCCUGUGACGAAGCGUGAGUGACGGUAAUGGGUAAAGAAGCACCGGCUAACUACGUGCCAGCAGCCGCGGUGAUACGUAGGGUGCGAGCGUUGUCCGGAUUUAUUGGGCGUAAAGGGCUCGUAGGUGGUUGAUCGCGUCGGAAGUGUAAUCUUGGGGCUUAACCCUGAGCGUGCUUUCGAUACGGGUUGACUUGAGGAAGGUAGGGGAGAAUGGAAUUCCUGGUGGAGCGGUGGAAUGCGCAGAUAUCAGGAGGAACACCAGUGGCGAAGGCGGUUCUCUGGGCCUUUCCUGACGCUGAGGAGCGAAAGCGUGGGGAGCGAACAGGCUUAGAUACCCUGGUAGUCCACGCUGUAAACGGUGGGUACUAGGUGUGGGGUCCAUUCCACGGGUUCCGUGCCGUAGCUAACGCUUUAAGUACCCCGCCUGGGGAGUACGGCCGCAAGGCUAAAACUCAAAGGAAUUAACGGGGCCCCGCACAAGCGGCGGAGCAUGCGGAUUAAUUCGAUGCAACGCGUAGAACCUUACCUGGGUUUGACAUGGAUCGGGAGUGCUCAGAGAUGGGUGUGCCUCUUUUGGGGUCGGUUCACAGGUGGUGCAUGGCUGUCGUCAGCUCGUGUCGUGAGAUGUUGGGUUAAGUCCCGCAACGAGCGCAACCCUUGUUCACUGUUGCCAGCACGUUAUGGUGGGGACUCAGUGGAGACCGCCGGGGUCAACUCGGAGGAAGGUGGGGAUGACGUCAAGUCAUCAUGCCCCCUAUGUCCAGGGCUUCACGCAUGCUACAAUGGCUGGUACAGAGAGUGGCGAGCCUGUGAGGGUGAGCGAAUCUCGGAAAGCCGGUCUCAGUUCGGAUUGGGGUCUGCAACUCGACCUCAUGAAGUCGGAGUCGCUAGUAAUCGCAGAUCAGCAACGCUGCGGUGAAUACGUUCCCGGG
This 1343-nucleotide ribosomal RNA is filed under the name uncultured bacterium. Its description in RNAcentral is "16S ribosomal RNA". It matches the Rfam family "Bacterial small subunit ribosomal RNA", at positions 28 to 1378 of the family's 1533-position model. The record is from RNAcentral.